This 796-nucleotide ribosomal RNA is filed under the name uncultured bacterium. RNAcentral describes it as "bacterial SSU rRNA". It matches the Rfam family "Bacterial small subunit ribosomal RNA", at positions 66 to 860 of the family's 1533-position model. The record is from RNAcentral.
ACGGCAGCGCGGGGCAACCUGGCGGCGAGUGGCGAACGGGUGAGUAAUAUAUCGGAACGUACCCUGGAGUGGGGGAUAACGUAGCGAAAGUUACGCUAAUACCGCAUACGAUCUAAGGAUGAAAGUGGGGGAUCGCAAGACCUCAUGCUCCUGGAGCGGCCGAUAUCUGAUUAGCUAGUUGGCGGGGUAAAAGCCCACCAAGGCAACGAUCAGUAGCUGGUCUGAGAGGACGACCAGCCACACUGGAACUGAGACACGGUCCAGACUCCUACGGGAGGCAGCAGUGGGGAAUUUUGGACAAUGGGCGCAAGCCUGAUCCAGCAAUGCCGCGUGAGUGAAGAAGGCCUUCGGGUUGUAAAGCUCUUUUGUCAGGGAAGAAACGGUGGGGGCUAAUAUCCCCCGCUAAUGACGGUACUUGAAGAAUAAGCACCGGCUAACUACGUGCCAGCAGCCGCGGUAAUACGUAGGGUGCAAGCGUUAAUCGGAAUUACUGGGCGUAAAGCGUGCGCAGGCGGUUUUGUAAGUCUGUCGUGAAAUCCCCGGGCUCAACCUGGGAAUUGCGAUGGAGACUGCAAGGCUAGAGUUUGGCAGAGGGGGGUAGAAUUCCACGUGUAGCAGUGAAAUGCGUAGAUAUGUGGAGGAACACCGAUGGCGAAGGCAGCCCCCUGGGUCAAAACUGACGCUCAUGCACGAAAGCGUGGGGAGCAAACAGGAUUAGAUACCCUGGUAGUCCACGCCCUANACGAUGUCUACUAGUUGUCGGGUCUUANUUGACUUGGUAACGCAGCUAACGCGU